GACGAACGCUGGCGGCGCGCCUAAUACAUGCAAGUCGAACGCUGAAGGAGGAGCUUGCUCUUCUGGAUGAGUUGCGAACGGGUGAGUAACGCGUAGGUAACCUGCCUGGUAGCGGGGGAUAACUAUUGGAAACGAUAGCUAAUACCGCAUAAGAGUAGAUGUUGCAUGACAUUUACUUAAAAGGUGCAAUUGCAUCACUACCAGAUGGACCUGCGUUGUAUUAGCUAGUUGGUGGGGUAACGGCUUACCAAGGCGACGAUACAUAGCCGACCUGAGAGGGUGAUCGGCCACACUGGGACUGAGACACGGCCCAGACUCCUACGGGAGGCAGCAGUAGGGAAUCUUCGGCAAUGGACGGAAGUCUGACCGAGCAACGCCGCGUGAGUGAAGAAGGGUUUCGGAUCGUAAAGCUCUGUUGUAAGAGAAGAACGAGUGUGAGAGUGGAAAGUUCACACUGUGACGGUAGCUUACCAGAAAGGGACGGCUAACUACGUG
RNAcentral lists this ribosomal RNA (495 nucleotides) under uncultured bacterium. RNAcentral describes it as "partial 16S ribosomal RNA". It matches the Rfam family "Bacterial small subunit ribosomal RNA", at positions 28 to 507 of the family's 1533-position model. The record is from RNAcentral.